Molecule: long non-coding RNA, 223 nt
Filed under: Elaeis guineensis (African oil palm)
Lineage: Eukaryota; Viridiplantae; Streptophyta; Magnoliopsida; Arecales; Arecaceae
Description: long non-coding RNA (EGUI_LNC038844)
Source: RNAcentral
CCUAUCGAUCAGCUUCACCUAUGGUCACCUCCAAGGCUAUGGGGUACCACAAAAAUCCUAUAAAUAGAUCUUGAACUGAGCUAGAUGAUCCGAUCUUUCAAUAUUUACGAGAUGGAGUAUUGCUAACUGAUUGAGACGAAGCCAAGAGGCUAAGGCACCUCGCACCUUAAUACCUCAUAUAUGAUGAGAAGCUAUAUAAAAGAUCCUCCACUCUACCCUUACU